Long non-coding RNA from Bubalus bubalis (water buffalo), 813 nucleotides. RefSeq lists it as uncharacterized. The record is from RefSeq and is a predicted model, not a curated record. The transcript has 2 exons. Lineage: Eukaryota; Metazoa; Chordata; Mammalia; Artiodactyla; Bovidae.
AGAGUCUUAGCCACUACAUCGCCAGGGAAGUCCCUGGGGUUGAAUUAUUAAAUUGAAAUGAUCCAUGCCUAUCUUGAAGAACAUCAUCUGCAAGGAAAUAUUUUAUUAAAUGCAAUGAGUGUAUAAACUAUACCUUGAACUUCUCCCCUUUUCAGUUGUGAGGUUAAAAUGCUUUCCAAGUAUAACUUAUUAAUUUUUCAAGUUGUAACUAUCUCUAAGGAAGGAAAUUAACAUCAUUCCAUUUUACAGAUGUGAGAACUGAAGUGUAAGGUGCUCUGGCCAGCAUGAGUCAGUGAGUCAGAGUCAGAAUAGAAUGAUGUGAAAAUGGGGUCAGAGGGAACAGAAAUGAAGCCUAUCAUCUACUUUGAGAGUUUGGAGAAAAGAGGAAACCAUAGAACAUACUCUGAGAUGGGCAGCCUUCCAAACAUCACAAUUACUUCUGUGGAAAAGCAGAGCUAAGACUGAGAGGGUAAAAGUCCAGAAAGUCAAUGGCCGGGCUGGAUUUGAAACUUGUUUUGUGCAUCUGGAGAUAAAGAAGUCAAGGGGCCAAGGAAAGAAUAGAGUUAAUGACCCACAUGGUAGUCAACGAGUGAUACUGGAGCGUGGCUGCUACUAUGAGUACAGAGGCUGAGAAUUGGAGAAUUAACCACUAACAUGGAAGGGUCCUUGGGCUGAGACCUUUCCAUGGUUUAUUUUGUUUUACUAUAAAUCAUUUACUUAAUACACUGUAGUUCUUAGGAUAGUACACUCUGUAUUAAUUUAUGACCAUUAUCAAGUUGAAAGAGAAAACACAAAGUUUGUAUACGAAAGAAA